This is a non-coding RNA of Kogia breviceps (pygmy sperm whale), 2422 nucleotides long. NCBI's taxonomy places the organism in Eukaryota, Metazoa, Chordata, Mammalia, Artiodactyla, Physeteridae. The record is from RefSeq and is a predicted model, not a curated record.
CUCCGGUGUUGCCCGGAAAGCGCUCCGCCGCGCCCGGCGGGACGAGGGCCGGGCGCGCGCAGCGGUACUGGGCGGAGCGGAAGACGCGUGGAGCCGUGCGAGGACCCGCGUGUUGUGCAGUGCAUCUAUGAUAUGUGUUUUAGAAAUAAAAGUUAAACUUUGGUUUGAAUGAAAAAUGUCUCUCAAUACACCUACAUUUCUCAAAGAAAGGGAAGAAGAUAAUUCAAAAUUUGUGGAAAUACAACAGUCACAAACUACAUCCAUAGCUGCAGAAUAUCCUCUUCAAAACUUACGCUUAGCAUCUCAAGAAGUUCUUCAAAAAGCUCAGCAAAAUGGAAGAUCAAAAUGUCUCAGGUGUGGUGGUUCAAGAAUGUUCUACUGCUAUACAUGUUACGUCCCAGUUGAGAAUGUACCUAUUGAACAGAUACCACGUGUGAAGCUUCCAUUGAAGAUUGACAUCAUUAAACAUCCAAAUGAAACAGACGGCAAAAGCACUGCUAUACAUGCAAAACUCUUAGCACCUGAAUUUGUGAAUAUUUAUACAUAUCCUUGUAUUCCAGAAUAUGAAGAAAAAGACCAUGAAGUUGCACUUGUUUUUCCUGGACCUAAGUCUGUUUCAGUAAAAGAAAUUUCUUUUCAUCUCCAAGAAAAGAUUCAAAAUAAUGUUGGAGUCAAAAAUGAUGACCUUGACAAGCCAUUCAUUAAACGCAAGAAAACUGAAGAACAGGAUUUGAAUGACAGCAAGUGCAAAGACACAACACUGAAAAAAAUUGUAUUCAUAGAUAGCACCUGGAACCAAACAAACAAAAUAUUCACUGAUGAGAGACUGCAAGGGUUGCUACAAGUUGAGUUGAAAACAAGAAAAACUUGCUUUUGGCGCCAUCAAAAAGGAAAGCCAGAUACCUUCCUUUCCACAAUUGAAGCCAUUUACUACUUUCUGGUGGCAAGAACUUGCCUUAGAAUGAAGCCAGCAAAAGAAAGCAGAGUGGAAAGAUAAAAAGACUGAGUCCUGAGGACAUCAUUUAAUCAUCUAAUCUAGCUGCUUGUGAAUGGAACCCUACUGUGCUGAAUAGCUUCUGUUUGCCCUCUGGAUCCACCCUCCACUCUUUCCCAUUCUGCUCUCUGCUCUGUGAGGAAAAAGGAAGAAUGACUGGCAGGCAGAACCAGAAUCCCAGAGGGAGGAGCCAAGAAGCAAGAAAAUCUGGACUGAGAGAAGCCACUCCCAAGUAACUGCACCUGAGGAACAAUACCUGAGGCAUUUUCUCCACAUCUGGACCUAAUUUAGAUGAUAAGAUACUGAACUUAAACUAAUGUCAUCAUGGGAUGAGACUUUUAGGGUUUCUUGGGCUUCUACAUAGACAGCUCUAUCAUCUGUGAAUAGAGACUGUUUUGUUUCUUCCUUCCCAAAGAGGUGGUGGAGCCUCAAAGAGCUAAGACCUGCCAGGUCAAGUGUCUGAUUGGAAGCACUACAGCAGACUCCUGCCAGGGUCUGCCAUGUGCAUGCAGCAGGAUACUGUGUGGUGAAGACACAUUGAAGUGGUUACAGAAUAUUGAGCAGAGUUCCCUGUAUUGACUCUUACAGACUGUUAAUGAGUAGCAAGUGGCAAAGCCAGAGCUCGACCCACACAUUCCACUCCAGCUAAGGUUUUCAAAAGAGAGCUGGAUCCACUCGAAAGCCAUGCCACCCUCUCAAUGUUCCCACACUGCUUCCAGACUGACCUUUCAGUUCCCCACACAGGAAUGCAAGCUCCAUGAAGGUAGAAACGAUCUAGUUCACUGCUGUAUCCACAGCGACUGGAAUGGCACCAGACAUAUGCUUGAUACAGAUGAACAUAGCAACCUUGGAAGGCACAUCUUAAAGAUGGAAGAGCCACCAGAUGGCAGGAUCCUGGGACCCUGAAUCACCACUUGGAAGAGAGCAGCACAUCAAUCAAGAAUACACAUUUGGACCUUUCUUGAGUGAGAAAUAAGCUUCCGUUGCAUUUAAGCCUUUAUAGAUUUGGGGAUUGUUAGUUACAGCAGAUAGCAUUAUCUAAACUAAUACAGAGUAGAAUCCAAGUCUCCUGACUCCUAGUUCAGUUCUGUUCCCUCCAAUCCACAAAUCCACAUGAUAAUAUAAUACCCAAAUUUUAACCCUAAUAAAUAUAUAAAUCACAUUCUAAGUCAUCUAAGAGUGUUAAUACAUGAAGAAUCAAAAUAAAUUGGUAUUAAAAGGGGCAUCUGCAAUGCAUGUAGUUCUGUGUGAAACAACGGAGAAGGAUGACUCUGACGAACAAACCCAGAGUCCAGUUUAUAACAAGGUUAGUGCUUGAGCCACUGAUAUGCCAUUUCUGCAUUCCAAGGUUAGGCAGAGUAUUCUGAGGGUUAUAACAGGCAGUUUCCCUUGGCUGAUCUGGAUGUGGCAUGCUAUAAACCCACAUCU